This 245-nucleotide ribosomal RNA is filed under the name uncultured bacterium. Its description in RNAcentral is "partial small subunit ribosomal RNA". It matches the Rfam family "Bacterial small subunit ribosomal RNA", at positions 26 to 286 of the family's 1533-position model. The record is from RNAcentral.
AGAAUCAACGCUGGCGGCGCGCCUAACACAUGCAAGUCGAACGAGAAAGUGGAGCAAUCCAUGAGUAAAGUGGCGACCGGGUGAGUAACACGUGACUAACCUACCUUCGAGUGGGGGAUAACCUCGGGAAACCGAGGCUAAUACCGCAUAACAUCGUGAGAUCAAAGCAGUAAUGCGCUGGAAGAGGGGGUCGCGGCUGAUUAGCUAGUUGGCGGGUAAUGGCCCACGAAGGCGAAGAUCGGUAG